Molecule: ribosomal RNA, 577 nt
Filed under: uncultured bacterium
Lineage: Bacteria
Description: bacterial SSU rRNA
Rfam family: Bacterial small subunit ribosomal RNA
Source: RNAcentral
CCUACGGGAGGCAGCAGUAAGGAAUAUUGGUCAAUGGACGCAAGUCUGAACCAGCCAUGCCGCGUGAAGGAUUAAGGUCCUCUGGAUUGUAAACUUCUUUUAUUUGGGACGAAAAAGGGCCUUUCUAGGUCAACUGACGGUACCAGAUGAAUAAGCACCGGCUAACUCCGUGCCAGCAGCCGCGGUAAUACGGAGGGUGCAAGCGUUAUCCGGAUUCACUGGGUUUAAAGGGUGCGUAGGCGGGUAGGUAAGUCAGUGGUGAAAUCCUAGAGCUUAACUCUAGAACUGCCAUUGAUACUAUCUAUCUUGAAUAUUGUGGAGGUAAGCGGAAUAUGUCAUGUAGCGGUGAAAUGCUUAGAUAUGACAUAGAACACCUAUUGCGAAGGCAGCUUACUACGCAUAUAUUGACGCUGAGGCACGAAAGCGUGGGGAUCAAACAGGAUUAGAUACCCUGGUAGUCCACGCCCUAAACUAUGAUUACUCGACAUUUGAGAUACACAUUAAGUGUCUGAGCGAAAGCAUUAAGUAAUCCACCUGGAAGUACGUCCGCAAGGAUGAAACUCAAAGGAAUUGACGG